UCCUGGCUUAGAACGAACGCUGGCGGCGCGCUUAAGCAUGCAAGUCGAACGGCAAGAAGAGAGCUUGCUCUCUCCUAGAGUGGCGGACUGGUGAGUAACACGUGGGUGACGUACCCUUGGACGGGGAUAGCCGAUAGAAACUAUCGGGGUAAUACCGGAUAAGGACACACAGGUUGGAGCUGUGUGUGGAAAGUAGCUACGGCUACGCCGAAGGAACGGCCUGCGACCCAUCGAGCUAGUAGGUGAGGUAAGAGCCCACCUAGGCAAUGACGGGUAUCCGGCCUGAGAGGGUGAACGGACACAUUGGGACUGAGAUACGGCCCAGACUCCUACGGGAGGCAGCAGCUAAGAAUAUUCCGCAAUGGACGAAAGUCUGACGGAGCGACGCCGCGUGGACGAAUGAAGGCCGGAAGGUUGUAAAGUCCUUUUAUUAUUGAAGAAUAAUCAGAAGAGGGAAUGCUUCUGGGGUGACCGUAGAUAAUGAAUAAGCACCGGCUAAUUACGUGCCAGCAGCGGC
RNAcentral lists this ribosomal RNA (517 nucleotides) under uncultured bacterium. RNAcentral describes it as "bacterial SSU rRNA". It matches the Rfam family "Bacterial small subunit ribosomal RNA", at positions 17 to 518 of the family's 1533-position model. The record is from RNAcentral.